RNAcentral lists this ribosomal RNA (543 nucleotides) under uncultured Glomeromycotina. RNAcentral describes it as "SSU rRNA". It matches the Rfam family "Eukaryotic small subunit ribosomal RNA", at positions 552 to 1096 of the family's 1831-position model. The record is from RNAcentral. Lineage: Eukaryota; Fungi; Glomeromycota.
AGGGCAAGUCUGGUGCCAGCAGCCGCGGUAAUUCCAGCUCCAAUAGCGUAUAUUAAAGUUGUUGCAGUUAAAAAGCUCGUAGUUGAAUUUCGGGGUCAGCAGGUUGGUCGUGCCAAUGGUAUGCACUGGCCUUGCUGAUUCCUCCCUCUUGAUGAGCCGUAAUGCCAUUAAUUUGGUGUUGCGGGGAAUCAGGACUGUUACUUUGAAAAAAUUAGAGUGUUUAAAGCAGGCAAGCGCUUGAAUACAUUAGCAUGGAAUAAUGAAAUAGGACGUUUGAUCCUAUUUUGUUGGUUUCUAGGAUUGACGUAAUGAUUAAUAGGGAUAGUUGGGGGCAUUAGUAUUCAAUUGUCAGAGGUGAAAUUCUUGGAUUUAUUGAAGACUAACUACUGCGAAAGCAUUUGCCAAGGAUGUUUUCAUUAAUCAAGAACGAAGGUUAGGGGAUCGAAGACGAUCAGAUACCGUCGUAGUCUUAACCAUAAACUAUGCCGACUAGGGAUCGGAUGAUGUUAAUUUUUUAAUGACUCAUUCGGCGCCUUACGGGAA